UUUGGCAAUGGUUGCUGCCUUCAUGGUAGCUUGGACGCCUUAUGCCAUACUUGGUGUGUAUGUUAUGGUCGAUAAAAAUGUGCCAGCUUGGAUUUUGCUGACACCAACGAUGUUUGCAAAAAGCAGCACUGUUCUAAGUCCGUUAUCCUGUGCCUUGUUCAGUGGUAGUUUCCGAACAGCUGCAAAACAGAUUUUUUGCAAAAACGAAGAAGUAUUGGAAGAAGUACAGAAUGGAAAUGUUCUUCGCCCUCUUGCUUCAAAUCCUUCUUCUCCGACGUUUGUUCAAAGAGAGGUACGUGUGACACUGUACAAAGGAGAAUUAAAAAUCAACGAUAUUUUUGUUGGAAAUUUCGACAAUAUGGAGUUAUAGGAAUAAAAUACAUUAAUGGACCAGCAUUUCACGUAGAGCUGAAUGUUCCUGAUUUUGCUCACAGGACCGAGAGUCAAUCAGCUCAUUUAUUAUUUGAUUGUUUAUAUUUGUGGCUGGGUUAAUUUUCAAACGAGGCCUCUAUUGGAGCUACAAAAGCAAAUCCUUUUAGGAUAAUACUAGAAAUAUACUUGAAAUCCUCAGUUAGCGAAAACAUUGAAAGACCAUUUUCAAUUUGUUAUAAAAGAUAUGAAAAGGGACUGAACCAAGGUUUUAAUGUUGUUGUCUUUUUAUGACAGAUUUUCAGCGAUUGUCGUUUGUUGCUGCACAUGUAUGUCCAUUUAUCAUUUUUUAAAUUGGUUUGGCAUUAAAUAGACCGUUGAUGUGCUUCACAUUUUGUCAUGUUGGAGCCUUUUAUAGCUGACUAUACGAUAAGAAUUUUGCUCAUUGUUGAAUGUGGUAAUUUAUAGUUGGUAACAUGCAUUUUAUUUGGAUUCUGGGAUUUGUCUCAUCUGGGUUUCAUACCACGUUUCCUUAUCUUUAUAUGAACAGACUAUAUAUGUAAUAUACAACAGUAAAAUGACGCUGUUCCUUUGCUUUUUGUGUGAUUUUUGCUGUACAUGUACUGAUUUUGUGUCAUGGAUGGAUGAAUACCCCAUAUCCUUUGUUUUUCUAAGACAUACAUAAACAAUGAUAUUUUUGUUUACCUUUCUUGUGCAUAACGUAUUUAUAUAACUGACAACGUUUGUCGUGCUAGACAGUAUCAUUUUGUUUGAUUAUCGUGUAUUAUAUAUAUCAUUAUAUUCUAUGUAUGUAUGUUAGUUCCAAAUAAGUGUAAAAAGUAGAGCAUUAAAAUGGUGUAGUACACAGCCCAAGAAUGUAACAUUUAUGUCUUUUUAAGAUAAUAAAUGAACAUUGUUUUACGAGAAGCAUAUUUUGUUUUGGGGGAAUUGCAUGGCCAUUUAUCAUUCUUACCAAUCAAAAGCAGGGGAAAUUUUAUUUUGAGAUAUGUUAUAUACCAAUUAUGUCAUUCAACUUAAAAAUAAAAGUUAUCGCUUUUCAAUAAACCACUUUGAAAGCUCA
Long non-coding RNA from Mytilus californianus (California mussel), 1450 nucleotides. RefSeq lists it as uncharacterized. The record is from RefSeq and is a predicted model, not a curated record. The transcript is spliced from 2 exons. NCBI's taxonomy places the organism in Eukaryota, Metazoa, Mollusca, Bivalvia, Mytilida, Mytilidae.